UCUGAAACAGGGCAAACCCAUCGAAAGGUGGGGACGCAAAGUUACCGGUCUAAGGGGUGCGGUCAAACCCUACGACAGCGGGAUUGCCAGA
This 91-nucleotide non-coding RNA is filed under the name Betaproteobacteria bacterium. Its description in RNAcentral is "c-di-GMP sequence". It matches the Rfam family "c-di-GMP-I riboswitch aptamer". From Rfam's summary of the family: GEMM was predicted in a large-scale screen for bacterial structured RNA regulatory elements. Genes associated with GEMM are involved in a diverse array of functions, including chemotaxis regulation, signal transduction, secretion and chitin. The record is from RNAcentral. Lineage: Bacteria; Pseudomonadati; Pseudomonadota; Betaproteobacteria.